This 531-nucleotide ribosomal RNA is filed under the name uncultured Enterobacterales bacterium. RNAcentral describes it as "bacterial SSU rRNA". It matches the Rfam family "Bacterial small subunit ribosomal RNA", at positions 8 to 528 of the family's 1533-position model. Lineage: Bacteria; Pseudomonadati; Pseudomonadota; Gammaproteobacteria; Enterobacterales. The record is from RNAcentral.
AGAGUUUGAUCCUGGCUCAGAUUGAACGCUGGCGGCAGGCCUAACACAUGCAAGUCGAACGGUAGCACAGAGGAGCUUGCUCCUUGGGUGACGAGUGGCGGACGGGUGAGUAAUGUCUGGGAAACUGCCCGAUGGAGGGGGAUAACUACUGGAAACGGUAGCUAAUACCGCAUAACGUCGCAAGACCAAAGAGGGGGACCUUCGGGCCUCUUGCCAUCGGAUGUGCCCAGAUGGGAUUAGCUAGUAGGUGGGGUAACGGCUCACCUAGGCGACGAUCCCUAGCUGGUCUGAGAGGAUGACCAGCCACACUGGAACUGAGACACGGUCCAGACUCCUACGGGAGGCAGCAGUGGGGAAUAUUGCACAAUGGGCGCAAGCCUGAUGCAGCCAUGCCGCGUGUAUGAAGAAGGCCUUCGGGUUGUAAGGUACUUUCAGCGAGGAGGAAGGCGUUGUGGUUAAUAACCGCAACGAUUGACGUUACUCGCAGAAGAAGCACCGGCUAACUCCGUGCCAGCCGCCGCGGUAAAAGGG